Molecule: ribosomal RNA, 463 nt
Filed under: uncultured bacterium
Lineage: Bacteria
Description: partial 16S ribosomal RNA
Rfam family: Bacterial small subunit ribosomal RNA
Source: RNAcentral
CCUACGGUGGCAGCAGUCGAGAAUCAUUCACAAUGGGGGAAACCCUGAUGGUGCGACACCGCGUGAACGAGGAAGGUCUUCGGAUCGUAAAGUUCUGUUGAAGGGGAAAAAGAGCGGAGAGAGGAAAUGGUCUCCGAUUGAUAUUACCCUUCGAGGAAGUCACGGCUAAAUACGUGCCAGCAGCCGCGGUAAUACGUAGGUGGCGAGCGUUAUCCGGCAUGAUUGGGCGUAAAGGGUGCGUAGGCGGCCUGCUAAGUCUGGAGUGAAAGGUACCGGCUCAACCGGUACAGGCUCUGGAAACUGGCGGGCUAGAGAGCAGGAGAGGGCGGUGGAACUCCAUGUGUAGCGGUAAAAUGCGUAGAUAUAUGGAAGAACACCAGUGGCGAAGGCGGCCGCCUGGCCUGUUACUGACGCUGAGGCACGAAAGCGUGGGGAGCAAAUAGGAUUAGAUACCCGAGUAGUC